AGAACGAACGCUGGCGGCAUGCCUAACACAUGCAAGUCGAACGCUUGUCGAGACUUCGGUUUUGGCAGGAGUGGCGCACGGGUGAGUAGCGCGUGGGAACCUGCCCUGUUGUGGGGGAUAACCGAGGGAAACUUCGGCUAAUACCGCAUACGCCCUGGUGAGCGAUCAUCGGGGGAAAGAUUUAUCGCAGCAGGAGGGGCCCGCGUCGGAUUAGUUAGUUGGCGGGGUAAUGGCCCACCAAGACUAUGAUCGGUA
RNAcentral lists this ribosomal RNA (255 nucleotides) under uncultured bacterium. RNAcentral's name for it is "partial small subunit ribosomal RNA". It matches the Rfam family "Bacterial small subunit ribosomal RNA", at positions 26 to 285 of the family's 1533-position model. The record is from RNAcentral.